GAUGAACGCUGGCGGCGUGCCUAAUACAUGCAAGUCGAACGCAUAGAGAAAGGUGUUUGCACCUUUCAAGUGGGUGGCGAACGGGGGAGAACCACGUGAACAACCUGCUACAAGACUGGGGUUAAUACUUGGAAACAGAUGCAAAUCCCGAAUAUAUCUUAAUGUCGCAUGACACAUAGUUAAAAGGCGUUUCGGCGUCACCUAUAGAUGGAUCCGCGGUGCAUUAGUUAGUUGGUGGGGUAAAGGCCUACCAAGACAAUGAUGCAUAGCCGAGUUGAGAGACUGAUCGGCCACAUUGGGACUGAGACACGGCCCAAACUCCUACGGGAGGCAGCAGUAGGGAAUCUUCCGCAAUGGGCGAAAGCCUGAUGAAGCAACGCCGCGUGUGUGAUGAAGGCUUUCGGGUCGUAAAGCACUGUUAUAAGGGAAGAACAGCUAUGAUAGUAAAUGAGUUUAGUUUGACGGUACCAUACCAGAAAGGGACGGCUAACUACGUG
Molecule: ribosomal RNA, 497 nt
Filed under: uncultured bacterium
Lineage: Bacteria
Description: partial 16S ribosomal RNA
Rfam family: Bacterial small subunit ribosomal RNA
Source: RNAcentral